RNAcentral lists this ribosomal RNA (685 nucleotides) under uncultured bacterium. RNAcentral describes it as "partial 16S ribosomal RNA". It matches the Rfam family "Bacterial small subunit ribosomal RNA", at positions 241 to 916 of the family's 1533-position model. The record is from RNAcentral.
UUAGUUAGUUGGUGGGGUAAUGGCCUACCAAGNCCACAAUGGNUAGCCGGUCUGAGAGGAUGNNCGGCCACACUGGGACUGNNAUACGGNCCAGACUCCUACGGGAGGCAGCAGUGNNNNAUNUUGCGCAAUGGGGGNAACCCUGACGCAGCGACGCCGCGUGGNUGAUGAAGNNCNUUGGGUUGUAAAGCUCUGUCAACAGGGAAGAAGUUAUUGUAUUUUAAUAGAGUAUGAUAUUGACGGUACCUGUGAAGGAAGCACCGGCUAACUCCGUGCCAGCAGCCGCGGUAACACGGGGGGUGCAAGCGUUAUUCGGAAUUAUUGGGCGUAAAGGGCGCGCAGGCGGUCUUGUCAGUCAGAUGUGAAAGCCCGGGGCUCAACCCCGGAAGUGCAUUUGAAACAGCAAGACUUGAGUACGGGAGAGGAAAGCGGAAUUCCUGGUGUAGAGGUGAAAUUCGUAGAUAUCAGGAGGAACACCGAUGGCGAAGGCAGCUUUCUGGACCGAUACUGACGCUGAGGCGCGAAGGCGUGGGUAGCGAACAGGAUUAGAUACCCUGGUAGUCCACGCAGUAAACGAUGUUAACUAGGUGGUGGGGAUAUUAAAAUUUUCACUGCCGGAGCUAACGCAUUAAGUUAACCGCCUGGGGAGUACGGUCGCAAGACUAAAACUCAAAUGAAUUGACGG